This 468-nucleotide ribosomal RNA is filed under the name uncultured bacterium. Its description in RNAcentral is "partial 16S ribosomal RNA". It matches the Rfam family "Bacterial small subunit ribosomal RNA", at positions 28 to 507 of the family's 1533-position model. The record is from RNAcentral.
GACGAACGCUGGCGGCGUGCUUAACACAUGCAAGUCGAACGGAAAGGCCCUGCUUUUGUGGGGUGCUCGAGUGGCGAACGGGUGAGUAACACGUGAGUAACCUGCCCUUGACUUUGGGAUAACUUCAGGAAACUGGGGCUAAUACCGGAUAGGAGCUCCUGCUGCAUGGUGGGGGUUGGAAAGUUUCGGCGGUUGGGGAUGGACUCGCGGCUUAUCAGCUUGUUGGUGUGGUAGUGGCUUACCAAGGCUUUGACGUGUAGCCGGCCUGAGAGGGUGACCGGGGGGGCAGGGCACAGGCAAACGCCCAGACUGCUACGGGCGCUACAGGCGUAAGAUACUGUGUCAGAGAGCGAAGACGGGUGCAGUGGCGCCCCGAGCGGGAAGCUGGACUUCUGGGUGUAAGCAGAUUUCGUCCGCGAGGAAGCGCGAGUGACCGGACUGGCUAACGAAGCAACGGCUAACUACGUG